AACUGAUACUACCUGCGGGAACCUGCGGAAGGAUCAUUACCGAGUUUUCAACUCCCUAACCCUUCUGUGAACCUACCUAUCGUUGCUUCGGCGGACUCGCCCCAGCCCGGACGCGGACUGGACCAGCGGCCCGCCGGGGACCUCAAACUCUUGUAUUCCAGCAUCUUCUGAAUACGCCGCAAGGCAAAACAAAUGAAUCAAAACUUUUAGCAAUGGAUCUCUAGAUCGGAAGAGCACACG
This 240-nucleotide unclassified non-coding RNA is filed under the name soil metagenome. RNAcentral's name for it is "partial contains 5.8S ribosomal RNA, internal transcribed spacer 2, and large subunit ribosomal RNA". The record is from RNAcentral.